CCUACGGGAGGCAGCAGUGAGGAAUAUUGGACAAUGGGCGCAAGCCUGAUCCAGCCAUGCCGCGUGCAGGAAGACGCAUCUAUGGUGUGUAAACUGCUUUUGUACGGGAAGAAACACUCCCUCGUGAGGGAGCUUGACGGUACCGUAAGAAUAAGGAUCGGCUAACUCCGUGCCAGCAGCCGCGGUAAUACGGAGGAUCCAAGCGUUAUCCGGAAUCAUUGGGUUUAAAGGGUCCGUAGGCGGUUUAAUAAGUCAGUGGUGAAAGCCCAUCGCUCAACGAUGGAACGGCCAUUGAUACUGUUAGACUUGAAUUACUAGGAAGUAACUAGAAUAUGUAGUGUAGCGGUGAAAUGCUUAGAUAUUACAUGGAAUACCAAUUGCGAAGGCAGGUUACUACUAGUGGAUUGACGCUGAUGGACGAAAGCGUGGGGAGCGAACAGGAUUAGAUACCCUGGUAGUCCACGCCGUAAACGAUGGAUACUAGCUGUUGGGCGCAGUUCAGUGGCUAAGCGAAAGUGAUAAGUAUCCACCUGGGGAGUACGUUCGCAAGAUUGAAACUUCAAAGGAAUUGACGGCUGGAGAGNGCGAGACGACGACGAGGAGGAGG
Molecule: ribosomal RNA, 607 nt
Filed under: uncultured bacterium
Lineage: Bacteria
Description: bacterial SSU rRNA
Rfam family: Bacterial small subunit ribosomal RNA
Source: RNAcentral